Molecule: long non-coding RNA, 1256 nt
Filed under: Diabrotica virgifera virgifera (western corn rootworm)
Lineage: Eukaryota; Metazoa; Arthropoda; Insecta; Coleoptera; Chrysomelidae
Description: uncharacterized LOC126879989
Source: RNAcentral
AGUUAUGCUACGGACCAUUUAAAAUUAAUUACGAUUUUCGAUUCAUUCAAUUAUAUUUCAUUAAAAAUACCCCUCUAGAAAAUUCUUUGGAGACGCCUAUUUAAUCGCCUAGGUGCCUAUUUUCGCAGCGAAGCAAGAGGAAAGCACCGCGCAUGUUUCUAUCGGAUCGAUACGAAUCGAUUUCCGAUAACAUUGAACAGCGGUUGGUCAGGAAACGGCUCGAAGGGCGGAUGGCGCGCCGCUAGUAAGGUUAUUCCCACUUUUAAGUGACGGGAUUGAAACAAAUUUUCGAUGGAAAUCAAAUAAUUAGAAGGAAAUCAAGCGUCAGCUAAUCCCAUCUACAAAACUAGAUAACCAAAGUUAAACAUCUCUUUGGACUUCUUCACAUAACAGAAGUGGAUAUUCCGGCGUGCCUGCCUUGUUUCAAUCCCGUAACUUAGUUAUUUAGUCACACAACGUGACUCUAUCACGUUGAUUAUGUACUAACUAGUUAGAUUGCUAGCCACUCUGUGAUGGUUUAUCCCUAGAGUGGGCUGUUUUUGUUGGAUAAUACACCAUACCGGAUUUUAUUACAACCAGCAUCUUCACCCAGGACCUUGCAGUAGGACUUACUCACCACCGCAGCCAACCAUUUUAUCGUGCCAAAAGGGAAUUUCCUACGGAAUUCAUCUCUAUGGACUUUCAACCCUACUUUUAACCGACUGUUGUGUAAAAGCUAAGUUUAUUUACUUUUUCUGUAUUUACUUUUGGGUAAGAUAUAUUUGCUACAUUGUAAACUUUUCGUAUGCAUACGAUUAGGAAGAGUACAUAUAUUUUCGUGAUAGAUAGGGUUUUAGGUUGUUGUUUUUUUUUUUCUUUUUGAUUCAGUAUAAGUAGGAGUUAGUUAAAAUAAAUAAAAUCAGGUCUUGUUUAAUAAUCAUAAAUAAUUGUAUCUUAAAAUUUAAUAGGGAAUCGGGUUGUAAAAUUUUGUCGCGGAUUUUAAAUAGGGAAUACGUCUCGUAGGUUUUUUUUGUAAAAUAUAUAAAGAGUCACUGACCAACUCAUUUAUAUAGACCUUUUUGCUAUUCCAACGGACUUUUGAUUUGGAUUUUGAUUUUAAUACUUUUGCUUGGCCAGUGAUAGUGGAUAAUUGCUUGUUGAGUGGCCUUUGCGGUCCUAUUUUAUCUUUUCCCCAUCCACUAUCACUGUUAUUACGUUGCGUUAUAUGUAAAGUGUUAUUAUUUAAUAUUUAUUAUUAAUAUAUUUGUAUGUAUUAA